GCUUCUUUUGGAAUCGAGUGGCNAACGGGUGAGUAACACGUAAACAACCUGCCUUCAGGAUGGGGAUAACAACGGGAAACCGUUGCUAAUACCGCGUACGAAUGAACUUCGGCAUCGGAGCUCAUUGAAAGGUGGCCUCUAUUUAUAAGCUAUCGCUGAAGGAGGGGGUUGCGUCUGAUUAGCUAGUUGGAGGGGUAACGGCCCACCAAGGCAAUGAUCAGUAGCCGGUCUGAGAGGAUGAACGGCCACAUUGGGACUGAGACACGGCCCAAACUCCUACGGGAGGCAGCAGUGGGGAAUCUUCCGCAAUGGACGAAAGUCUGACGGAGCAACGCCGCGUGAGUGAUGACGGCCUUCGGGUUGUAAAGCUCUGUUAAUCGGGACGAAUGGUCCUUGUGUGAAUAAUGCAAGGAUUUGACGGUACCGGAAUAGAAAGCCACGGCUAACUACGUGCCAGCAGCCGCGGUAAUACGUAGGUGGCAAGCGUUGUCCGGAAUUAUUGGGCGUAAAGCGCGCGCAGGCGGUUUCAUAAGUCUGUCUUAAAAGUGCGGGGCUUAACCCCGUGAGGGGAUGGAAACUAUGGAACUGGAGUAUCGGAGAGGAAAGCGGAAUUCCUAGUGUAGCGGUGAAAUGCGUAGAUAUUAGGAAGAGCACCAGUGGCGAAGGCGGCUUUCUGGACGACAACUGACGCUGAGGCGCGAAAGCCAGGGGAGCGAACGGGAUUAGAUACCCCGGUAGUCCUGG
RNAcentral lists this ribosomal RNA (744 nucleotides) under uncultured bacterium. RNAcentral's name for it is "bacterial SSU rRNA". It matches the Rfam family "Bacterial small subunit ribosomal RNA", at positions 78 to 799 of the family's 1533-position model. The record is from RNAcentral.